Molecule: long non-coding RNA, 614 nt
Organism: Octodon degus (degu)
Lineage: Eukaryota; Metazoa; Chordata; Mammalia; Rodentia; Octodontidae
Exons: 3
Source: RefSeq, a predicted model, not a curated record
CCCCCACUCUGCCGCCUCUCUGUUUACAGCCUGUUCCCGACCGGUAUUUGAAAUAUUCCAAACAUCGGCGUCACCAUUCCUCCGCGCAGGAGUGCAGGGCCCCAGUGUGAAGGCGGAUGGGACUUCAGACGGAAGCGGGCUACUCCGCCCGGAACGACCUGGCCCGGGCGCCUGCUCUGUAGGAGCUCCGCUUAUCAGUCAAGGGACAGCACAGCGGUGACAACCCCACGCCUUCCAAGGACAAACGGUCGGGGUACAAGCCUCAGCUCAGCAUGCAGCGGGCCGGCCUGUCUUGUCCUUCCAGCAAGGACAGGUCUGGGUGCUGCAGGGACAUGGAAGUCGCUUGCCUGCAGGACUGGGGUUUCCAGACUUUGUCCUGUGCCUCCUCCAGCUUCAACUGGGCAGCACCAAGGUGACUCAGCCUGCCGAACUCCAGGAAGCGGCCGGCCACAUGCCAGGGCCCCCAGCCUCAGGCAGAGCAGACAGCAGGGGCCUCAGGAUCCUCCAGGGAGGGCUUCCAGCCCUGCCUGCCCCGCUGGCUGCCUGGCAACACAGCAGCUUCCACCUAAUCCCUUCAGAGGAGACUGAUCUGAGAACAGAAGGCACAGGCUCAU